GACCUGGCGUGGGCGGUCGUGCGCCGCGGGGUGCUCACCAGCCGCGCCAUGGUCAUCGUGACGGAGAGGUGGGAUGGAAACUGCAAGCAGAAAAAUCGGAACCGGUCUCCAUUUUUCUGUUCUCUGUAUAGCUUUCAUUGUUGUGAGACUGGAAACUGCUUUGUGUUAGUGCCGUGCAACAAUUUGUUUGCUUUACAAGUUCAGCUAUGUCGAGUUGCUCGUCAGAAUUAUGUGUUAUUAGUUGUCUGUGCUUAUGUAUUCCUUCGUUUUGAAUGGUUUACUUUGGUCAUUGAAUUGGUAUUGCUAGGGUAUGUGCGCCUGUCGAACUUGAUACAUGGUAUUGAUUUCGUUAAAAAAAACAGUUAUCUGCUUGCAGAAACGUAUUAGCAAUUUUCCUUUAUUUUUUACAAUUUUCC
Molecule: long non-coding RNA, 416 nt
Filed under: Oryza brachyantha (malo sina)
Lineage: Eukaryota; Viridiplantae; Streptophyta; Magnoliopsida; Poales; Poaceae
Description: long non-coding RNA (OBRA_LNC001898)
Source: RNAcentral